Molecule: microRNA precursor, 205 nt
Filed under: Medicago truncatula (barrel medic)
Lineage: Eukaryota; Viridiplantae; Streptophyta; Magnoliopsida; Fabales; Fabaceae
Description: MIR2670 microRNA precursor family
Rfam family: MIR2670 microRNA precursor family
Source: Rfam by way of RNAcentral
UUUGGGGAAAUAUUGGUCCGUUAAGUUGGGGAAAAAGACAUCAUCCCUUGAGAUAAAAUUAGAUUUGUUUCCUUUUACUCCGAAAAUCUUUUCACCGUGGAUAAAAAGAAUCAAUAUGGGGGUAUAAAAUGAACCAAAUUUAAAUUUAACUCAAGGGGUCUUGAUGUUGUUUUCCCCAACAGGACGGAUCAUUAUUUUCCCCAAG